GUAGUCUCGCACAGAUGCAUAUCAAUAAGCGGAGGAAAAGAAACUAACUAGGAUUCCCUCAGUAACGGCGAGUGAAGCGGGAAGAGCUCAAAUUUGAAAUCUUCAAGGUUCUACCUUGACGAAUUGUAGUUUAAAGAAGUGUUUUCUGUUGGAGUUUUGGUAAAAGUUCUUUGGAAUAGGACAUCAUAGAGGGUGAGAAUCCCGUAUUUGACCAUUAUUUCCAGCUUUGUGAUACACUUUCAAAGAGUCGGAUUGUUUGGGAAUGCAGUCCAAAAUGGGUGGUAAAUUUCAUCUAAAGCUAAAUAUUGGCGAGAGACCGAUAGCGAACAAGUACCGUGAGGGAAAGAUGAAAAGAACUUUGAAAAGAGAGUUAAACAGUACGUGAAAUUGUCAAAAGGGAAGCGUUUGACACCAGUGUUGUUUUCUCGAAAAUCAAUUAAAAAAGGCAGGAUUUUGUGUUGUAUUGACUUUAUCAGCUUUCUGCACUCUUUUCUUGUCUUUUUUUAAUGCACUUUUCGUUUAACAAGUCAACAUCAAUUUCUUUUGUUGUAAAAGGGUCAUUGGAAGGUGGCUUUCCUUUCGGAGAAAGUGUUUAUAGCCUUUGGCCUCUGCAAUCGGAGAGAUUGAGGUCUGCAGCGUAGGAUCCUUCGGGGUUAGAUACAUUUGCUGCUAAGUUAUAGCCUUUCAUAGACAACUUGUUGACUAUGAUCAGUCAUGUAGCUUACUCGCUUAUGCUAUUUUACCUACGCUUAGGAUGUUGAAGUCAUCGUAUCGCG
RNAcentral lists this ribosomal RNA (776 nucleotides) under uncultured Neocallimastigales. Its description in RNAcentral is "partial large subunit ribosomal RNA". It matches the Rfam family "Eukaryotic large subunit ribosomal RNA", at positions 24 to 644 of the family's 3401-position model. The record is from RNAcentral. Lineage: Eukaryota; Fungi; Neocallimastigomycota; Neocallimastigomycetes; Neocallimastigales.